Molecule: transfer RNA, 66 nt
Filed under: Spathoderma clenchi
Lineage: Eukaryota; Metazoa; Mollusca; Caudofoveata; Chaetodermatida; Prochaetodermatidae
Description: tRNA-Gln
Source: RNAcentral
UUUUCAGUAGUGUACAGCACUAAAGGCUUUGAACUUUUAAGAAAAAGAAUUUUCUUUUCUGAAGAA